RNAcentral lists this unclassified non-coding RNA (1158 nucleotides) under Hevea brasiliensis (rubber tree). Lineage: Eukaryota; Viridiplantae; Streptophyta; Magnoliopsida; Malpighiales; Euphorbiaceae. The record is from RNAcentral.
CUAUCAUGUGCCUUUUGUUUUUUGUCAAAGUUGGAUUUCAAUAGAUAGCAGAAGAAGUACACGGCUCAUGGCCCAAUUACAGAGAACCAUCUAACUACAUAGCUUAAACACCCAAGCCCAAGAAGAAAUAGGCCCAUGGCCCACGCAAACUGAAACCUUAGAGCUAUCAGGUAUUUGACUCGAAACCUUUGAGAUUCUGCAAGCAGGAAAGAUGCGACACAACACCGCUUAUUCUUGGCCACCCAAUGGCCAAGGAAGGAUAUCGUUUCAGCCUGAGAAGCACAAUACAGGGGAGGCCUCUUCUACCAGUGGCCAUGCAUGGCUGAUUCAGCCUGUCUGAGGCCAAGAAGAGACCCCUUUCUCAAGAUGUCAUCCCUAGGAUCUCAAACACAGUUGCAGCUAGGAACUACUUUUUCAGUGGCUUUGAGGAACUAGAGACCAUGGAGAAGCCGAAAAUCAACGGAGGAAUGGCAGAGCUAGAGGCUUCUUAUUCUUGUAUAGCCAUGGGGGGACUAGAGACCAUCAUCUAGGCGCUGGAAAGUCCCUUUAGUUACCAUUCUUUCAGUGUAUACUUCUAGAGCCCAUCAUGCAUAAAACACACAAACAAACCCCACAAAUCAUCAUAAAAAAACCCUCUCCAUUUCAAUCACUAGGAUCUGCUGAAAAGCAACCAAAGCAACUAAAAUGAGCUAUUUACACCCCAACCUAGAGGUCGGAAAGGGAAAUCCAUUUUUCAGGUUGGGGAAAAGGCCUUCCCUUGUCCGGAAGGAGCAGAGAAAGGCCUUUGGGAGGCAGUGUCGGUGAGCUUUGAGAAAUAGAGAACUAGAAAAAACCGAGAGAAAUUUCUCUCUAAAAACCUAGAGAGAGACAAGCUCCUGAGUUGCUAGCCAAACCAUUUGGUAAACUGUCGAAUUUUGCCCUGAUAUAGAUAUGCCCAUCAAUGAAUGUAGUAAAUAAUGUCAUGCUGCUGAAUUGCUAAAAAUCCAGAUUUAUGUGGAAUAUAAUAUAUUUUGGCUUUAUAAUUUCUUCCUUCUAUAUAAAUCAUUUAAUUUAAUGAUUUGGGAUGAUUAAUUUCAAAGCAAUGUCCAUUGAUUUAAUUUUAUAAUGUACCUUUUCUUUAAAAACAGUAGACUUUAACUAUACAAUGAAGGUGUAUGC